Non-coding RNA from Cinara cedri, 292 nucleotides. NCBI's taxonomy places the organism in Eukaryota, Metazoa, Arthropoda, Insecta, Hemiptera, Aphididae. The record is from the annotation of a GenBank genome assembly.
GUCAAAUAUUUUUUACAUUUUGAUUAUGUUUUCUAAAUAGCUGCAACACUGCGAGAAAACAUUGGUAAACCUUUCACUGGUGUAUUUUAUUUUGAAAAGUUCUGCUAACAAUUUAAUGCCACAAUCUUGCAAAUCGAUUAUUGGCUAAUUCGGCGUUUUUUUCCAUAGCAUUGGACACAUUGGUGGCGCGAUAUUAGAGAAACACUUAUGUUGGCCGAUAAGUCAGUUUACUAAAUCUUAGGUUACAUAAACCAUAUUUCUAUGGAUAAAAUUGACAAUCAUUGACCAUUCA